UGUGGAGGAGAUUAUCUCGUUUUGCGGAAAAGUGCUUCUGAAACCACGGUUUGGAGAUACCCAAACAGGCUAUAAGCUUAAAAUAAACCC
Neltuma alba is the source of this 90-nucleotide long non-coding RNA. RefSeq lists it as uncharacterized. The record is from RefSeq and is a predicted model, not a curated record. The transcript has 3 exons. NCBI's taxonomy places the organism in Eukaryota, Viridiplantae, Streptophyta, Magnoliopsida, Fabales, Fabaceae.